Molecule: ribosomal RNA, 735 nt
Filed under: uncultured bacterium
Lineage: Bacteria
Description: bacterial SSU rRNA
Rfam family: Bacterial small subunit ribosomal RNA
Source: RNAcentral
AACAGGAUUAGAUACCCUGGUAGUCCAUGCCGUAAACGUUGGGCACUAGGUGUGGGGCGGGUUCCACUCGUUCUGUGCCGUAGCUAACGCAUUAAGUGCCCCGCCUGGGGAGUACGGCCGCAAGGCUAAAACUCAAAGGAAUUGACGGGGGCCCGCACAAGCGGCGGAGCAUGCGGAUUAAUUCGAUGCAACGCGAAGAACCUUACCAAGGCUUGACAUGUACGAGAACGCGUUAGAGAUAACGAACUCUUUGGACACUCGUACACAGGUGGUGCAUGGUUGUCGUCAGCUCGUGUCGUGAGAUGUUGGGUUAAGUCCCGCAACGAGCGCAACCCUUAUCCUAUGUUGCCAGCGGGUUAUGCCGGGGACUCAUGGGAGACUGCCGGGGUCAACUCGGAGGAAGGUGGGGAUGACGUCAAAUCAUCAUGCCCCUUAUGUCUUGGGCUUCACGCAUGCUACAAUGGCCGGUACAGAGGGCUGCGAUACCGUGAGGUGGAGCGAAUCCCAAAAAGCCGGUCUCAGUUCGGAUCGGGGUCUGCAACUCGACCCCGUGAAGUCGGAGUCGCUAGUAAUCGCAGAUCAGCAACACUGCGGUGAAUACGUUCCCGGGCCUUGUACACACCGCCCGUCAAGUCACGAAAGUUGGUAACACCCGAAGCUCACGGCCCAACCCGUAAGGGAGGGAGUGGUCGAAGGUGGGACUGGCGAUUGGGACUAAGUCGUAACAAGGUAACC